Molecule: long non-coding RNA, 4210 nt
Organism: Brassica napus (rape)
Lineage: Eukaryota; Viridiplantae; Streptophyta; Magnoliopsida; Brassicales; Brassicaceae
Exons: 2
Source: RefSeq, a predicted model, not a curated record
GUAGAAUAUCUAACAAAAUACUAAAUUAAUAAAUCAUAUUUAUGCUUUUAAAAGUAUUUAAAGAACAAAAUAAAUAAUUUUUUUAGUUAAAAAGUUCUACCAAAAAUUAACUUUCAGUUUUAAAAUAUUAAAAUAUAUUAUAGUAUGUCAAAAAUAUUCUUUUAUAUUAAAUUUUAGAAUAUUUGCAUUUGUGAAUUCUUGGACAGCUAACUAUUAACCCAUUGACUAUAGAGUUAUAUUAUAUAACUUAUAUAUAAAACAUAUCUGGCUGGACAUGUGGCAUGUGGGUGAACGGUGACUACGUAACAAUAAGACCAACCGCAACGGUCGGUUUAUUGAGUCCUUAGCUCGCGGUUUUAGGAAAAAUAGAAUUAAAAAAAUUUAAUCAAGUACGGUUUAUUAAGGACCGUAACUUAAUUAGAAGGCGGGAAGGAUUGAAUCCUUACCGACGUGUCAUCCCUUCCCCGGUUCGAUGUCGGGAUGAAUUUGGUUCAGGGAAAAAAAAAUUAAACGCGAAGGAGAUUAAAAAAAAAAAAGCUCCGGGCGAUCGAAGAGGCGACAGACGACUUGGUGAUAUCGAAGGUAAAUCGAAGCCUCCUAUCGUUCGUUUAUGGAUUUGUUUUGGUCGGAUGUUGUUCUCCUCGAGAUUUAGGGUUUCUUUUCAGUUUUAAAUCUAACUGGCUCAUAUCCAAAAUGGUCAACAUUUAUCCAAUCUAUCUCCCUCCCGCAAGGUCCUAAAGCAGAGUUAUUUGCUAAAUGUCAAGAAGCGACUCGAAAAGAUGUUGAGCGGGCUUUUGGAGUUUUGCAAGCUCGAUUUGCGAUUGUGAAAAACCCGGCUCUUACAUUAGACAAGACGAAAGUUGGGAAGAUUAUGAGAGCAUGUAUCAUACUACACAAUAUGAUAGUCGAAUAUGAACGAGACGGAUACACUCAGUACAAUAUAUCUGAGUUUGAAGAAGGAGAUGGAAGCAGAAGUUCUCAGGUAGAUAUGUCCUACAGUACCGAGACGCCUACAAAUCUCGAUAAUAUGGUUGGCAUUCGGACUCAUGUUCGCGAUAGGCGUAUACAUGAACAACUAAAAAACGAUUUAAUCGAAAAUGUUUGGAACAAAUUUGGUGAUCAAAAUUAAUAAUUGUUGUAUGUUUCUUUUAAUCAUGAAAUCAGUAAUUAUUGUAUUUUUAUAUUUUUUUAUGCAAUAAAUUUUUUUUUUUUUUUCAAUUUUUAAAAAAAAUAUUAUUAUUUUAUUCCUAAGGACUUCUGAUUGGAUAACACUAUUGGACGUAAGAUUAAGACAAUAAUCCUUAACUAUUCAAAAGUUAAAAAAUAAUACUUUUUAACUUCUAAGGACUCCUAAUACAAGUACACCAAUGCAUAUGCUCUAAGUAGUAUAUAAGUACGUAUUUGUGAGACCAAAGAGAACAAUAUUCUCCUCUUUUGAAGAUCUUCGAGUACUAAUCCUAUCACUCUUCUUCUUACCUACUUUGCUGGCCGUGCACACUUUUACCAACUGCAGUUUGCUCCUCAUAACUUUGUUCUAUAUCUUGUUACGUUAUCUACAAAAUAAUAUUACGGCUUGAAAACUUUAAACAACAUUGACUCUAUAAUGUUUAUCUAUCUUUGACUCUAUAAUCUCCAAUAGUGAUGGAUUUUAUGUGUACCUUUUGUUUAUAGUGAAUCUUGUUCUCUUCACUGACAUUAAUCACUGACUGUAGGCCCAGUGUUUGGCGGAAUCAGAGUUACUGGUUCGAAGGAAUUCGUGGAGCAGGGGAGAAAAAGCUUUAACUUAACCUGCUCUACAGGUACUUGAUUAAUUCCUUUUCAUAAUUUGCUUUAUUUAUAUCCAAGUUAUCACUCUGGUUUACUUUCAAGUGUUUUUCUUGAUGAAAUAUUUUGUGUGAACAAGUACAGUACUCACCAAAGGAUUCAUUCUUGCGGUAGUUAAACGAGGCUUCGCUAUGGGACCAAUCCUAAAUAUACAACCGUACAAUCUCUGUGAUUUGAUCACAUGUCCUGUUUCACCUGGCUCUUUUGUGAUUACUUUUCGCAAACUAUAUCCUGUUCCCAUAACAGUAAGUCUUUUUACAUUUUAUAUUGGUAAUUUUAAAAAUUGCACGAUUUAGAAAGUAAAAAGUUCUUUGGUUUUUGAUGAAUUUUUCAUCUCAAUCAUUAACAGAUUAUGUUUCAUACUUGUGACAUAUAUUUUCUUAUUGAUGGUUCCAUAAACAGUUUCCUAAUAACCGUACGUUGAGCUUAUGAAACAGAGUUGAUGGAGUCAUUAGUCAUAACUGUUGUUAGACUUUUGGAGAUUACAUCUUAAUUCCCAGCUUAUAAUUUUCAUACCAAAAUAACUCUACUAGGGUAAUAAAACAGUGAGAUUACACCGUAAUGAGUUCGCACAGUAACAAUGCGCUUUUUAUUUGAUUUUUUUUUUCUUUUAAUUUGUCUGAUGUUGAACUUGCCAAAAGCUUCUUAUUUAAUUAAAAGCAUGUUCUACCUCUGGAUUUGUCAUGUUAACUUAAAGAAAAUAUAUUUUGAUUGCAAACUAUGUUUAUUUGUUGCCUUCAUUGACACGAGUUUCUGUUUAGUUAUUAUCGAUCUUCCUUACACUUUACCAUUUUGUUGGUUCUUUGACGAUUCGUUUGUUUUCUCUUUUUUUUACCUUUGUAGUGGCAUAUCGAUACUUCAAUAGUCUUAGACGCAGGCCCUGGUAAGAUCGUUAAUGGAGUGACAGUGCCCGCCGAUGGAAGUAUGUGUGCAAACAUAUCUGAUUGGUAUUUUCGAAAUAGAGGAGGACCCUGAUCACGAGGAAAUAAUGUGUUCCGUCUUCCCUCGCGUAACUUCAAGUGCCUAUGUGAUUUUUUCUUCGUCAAGUUCUUUUAUGAGAAAAUGUGUUCUCAGCAUUUUCUAUGUCGUUUUCUCUCUUUGGUGUGAUGUACUGUUUGUUAUCCCAGAAAUAAAAAGUGGUCUACACUUUACACAUACCAGUGUUAAUCAGUGCUUUAUAUAUACCAAUGCUGAAACAAGUAGAAGUAGAGAAUGCGUAUGGCUAAGAUCAACAAGCCAACUGACGAAAAUACGAAGCCAACUAUCAUAUACGUAGAUAAUGCGGCAUGCACUAUUCAAAAGAAAUAAUACAAGUGAAUGUCAAUUAUUAUUAGCAAAGAACAAACGAUAAGGGUUUUUUUUUAAUCGAGAAUACACCGUGACUUGUCCUAAGGAUUUUGUUACGACUUCGUGGCCUUCUAAUUAAUGCACAUAGAGAGACAUCUUGAGGAGCUUAGUGAUGCUCAUUCUUCUUCAUGUCGGUUAGCCAAAUACGUCUGUUUUACAUACAUCCCGCAGAACUCCUAAGAUUCCUUCUUCAAAAAGGUUGCUUCGCUCUUCACUGUGUGUGCUCUCUUCUCUCACUGCGAAUGAUGCCAAAAAGAGUUCAGCUCGUAAGCGGAGUCUCAUUGGCCGUGAAUCAGAAGCUCUGUUCCUGAGUACCUGCACUGCGUAGCCUAACUGGUUUUACAACUCAAACUGUGUGAGAAAGAGACCAGUAAGAAACAACAAAAGACUGUUUAUGUGUGUUCUGUUCAUCUACAGUAACCUUUCCAUUGGUUUAGAGAAAAGCCAAGUAAUACUUAUACUUCAAAACUAGAAAAUCUUUGUAGUUACUAGUUACCAUUAGUUCCCAAAAGAUGUGACUAGUAAAUAAGCAAAGAUGAGAAAAAGAGACCAGGAAUCAGAUGUUAUAAAGUAAGACAGAAAUUUCACCAAAGGAGUCAUUAUUGCGGUAGUUAAACGAGGCUACAAAUUAGGACCAAUCUUAAAUGUACAAUGAUACAAUCUCUGUGAUUUGAUCACAUGUCCUGUUGCACCUGGCUCUUUUGUGAUUACUUUUCGCAAACUAUAUCCUGUUGGCAUAAAAUGGCAUAUCGAUACAAAAAUAGUUCUAAACGCAGGCCCUGAUAAGAUCGUUAAUGGAGUGCGGGUGCCGGCCGAUGGAAGUCUGUGUGUAGACAGCGAUGAUUAUUAUUUUCCUUUAUCACAAGGAUAUAAUGUGUCCAAUCUUCCCUUGCAUAAUUUCAAAUGCGUAUGUGAUUUUUUCCAAGUCAAGUUCUUUUAUGAGAAAAUGUAUUCUCAGCAUUUUCUAUGUAGUUUUCUCUUUUUGGAGUGAUGUACUGUUUGUUAUCCAAGAAAUAAAAGGUGGUUUACACUUUACACA